This is a long non-coding RNA of Drosophila obscura, 1010 nucleotides long. RefSeq lists it as uncharacterized. Lineage: Eukaryota; Metazoa; Arthropoda; Insecta; Diptera; Drosophilidae. The transcript has 3 exons. The record is from RefSeq and is a predicted model, not a curated record.
CUUUCUGGCCAUAAACGAAAUUGAAAUUGUGGAGUCUCACUUGGCCAGCUCGCAACUGGAGUUUGUUUGUGCUGGACCCACAAAAUAGAUUUGCCGCAAUUGCGCCAGACAACCCCACAGACAGCAGAGCCAAACCGAAUAGAGCCGAGUGGUGGAGUGCAGUGGAGUGUCUGGUGGAGUCCAGUCCUCAAGCGUGUAUAAAUCCCUCAUAUGUUCGGGCAUAAUUUGGUGAAACGAAACUCAAACAAACAACUGGAGGAGAGAGAGAGCAGGAAGGCAUCCAGAGACCAGUGGCCAAAUCUGUAGCUCUGGUGUGGGUGCAUGUGUGCCAACUGUCUGAUUUUGACAGCCCGCAUAAAGCGACCAAAGGACGCAGACGACAACGUUUCCCGUGAUGACACGAUGACUAGUCUCUUCCCAAUUUGGCGACAAAAACUGCCACAAAUAUUAAUUUUUAUUAUUCAAACAUUGCUUUAAUUACAUUAUUUUUGCGUAUGGCCCACGAACAAACCUUCCGCACUGCACCGCUCCGCACGGCACCCACUUGACGUGUGUGGCAAGCUCUUCGGUUGCAUUCAGUCCUUUCCCCAUCACUCUGAUCAAUCACUGGAAAAUUGGAUUUUCAUAUGUGCGCGCCAUGGUUGCCGUUCUGGUUAAGGGGCGUUCGGCGGCGGUGCCUGUACCUUGUGGUGAUGAAAAUCAGUCGGUGCCACUCGCUCCAUGUUUGACAAGCACAAACAGAAACUUAAUCAGAAUCCAUGGAUUGGUCAAUAAUUUUUAAACACAAAUCAAGUGUUAACUGGGGGCUUAAUUGUGGGUUGAGCGACAAGUACAAAAAAAGGGGAGGAAAAAAGAGUUGAAGUCAGGAAAAACAUGAAAAUGUAACUAUGAAUUUCAGGGCAUUUUUUUGUAACAAGGUAAAAAAUGUUUUUUAUGGUUGAAUGGUUAAAAGAUGUAUGAUUUAAAUUUUACGUUGAGUAUAGUACAUCGUGUAUGCAGCAUUUUUAAUA